UGCAGUCGAGCGAAUGGAUUGAGAGCUUGCUCUCAAGAAGUUAGCGGCGGACGGGUGAGUAACACGUGGGUAACCUGCCCAUAAGACUGGGAUAACUCCGGGAAACCGGGGCUAAUACCGGAUAACAUUUUGAACUGCAUGGUUCGAAAUUGAAAGGCGGCUUCGGCUGUCACUUAUGGAUGGACCCGCGUCGCAUUAGCUAGUUGGUGAGGUAACGGCUCACCAAGGCAACGAUGCGUAGCCGACCUGAGAGGGUGAUCGGCCACACUGGGACUGAGACACGGCCCAGACUCCUACGGGAGGCAGCAGUAGGGAAUCUUCCGCAAUGGACGAAAGUCUGACGGAGCAACGCCGCGUGAGUGAUGAAGGCUUUCGGGUCGUAAAACUCUGUUGUUAGGGAAGAACAAGUGCUAGUUGAAUAAGCUGGCACCUUGACGGUACCUAACCAGAAAGCCACGGCUAACUACGUGCCAGCAGCCGCGGUAAUACGUAGGUGGCAAGCGUUAUCCGGAAUUAUUGGGCGUAAAGCGCGCGCAGGUGGUUUCUUAAGUCUGAUGUGAAAGCCCACGGCUCAACCGUGGAGGGUCAUUGGAAACUGGGAGACUUGAGUGCAGAAGAGGAAAGUGGAAUUCUAUGUGUAGCGGUGAAAUGCGUAGAGAUAUGGAGGAACACCAGUGGCGAAGGCGACUUUCUGGUCUGUAACUGACACUGAGGCGCGAA
RNAcentral lists this ribosomal RNA (720 nucleotides) under bacterium W15S84b_F. RNAcentral's name for it is "bacterial SSU rRNA". It matches the Rfam family "Bacterial small subunit ribosomal RNA", at positions 56 to 757 of the family's 1533-position model. The record is from RNAcentral.